RNAcentral lists this ribosomal RNA (316 nucleotides) under Dendropsophus triangulum (triangle treefrog). RNAcentral describes it as "partial 12S small subunit ribosomal RNA". Lineage: Eukaryota; Metazoa; Chordata; Amphibia; Anura; Hylidae. The record is from RNAcentral.
AGUGCCGAGUUAAAAGAGGCAUAGUGAUCUUCUUUUACUUCUAAAUCCGCCUUCUGACUAGGUUUCAUAAUAGUCUUUCGUAUAGUCUAAAGUAGACAGUGUAGCCCAUCUCUUUCCGCUUCAUAUGCUGCACCUUGACCUGACGUGUUGGCGCGGGGGCGUUAAGCUCACUAGUUAGCGCUCACGGGGUAAGCUGACGACGGAGGUAUACAGGCUGAGAAACUAGAAGGGGUGAGGUAAAACGGGGGUUAUCGAUUAUAGGACAGGCUCCUCUAGGUGGAUUUGGGGUACCGUCAAGUCCCUUGGGUUUUAAGCU